Long non-coding RNA from Diachasmimorpha longicaudata, 1096 nucleotides. RefSeq lists it as uncharacterized. The transcript is spliced from 3 exons. The record is from RefSeq and is a predicted model, not a curated record. Lineage: Eukaryota; Metazoa; Arthropoda; Insecta; Hymenoptera; Braconidae.
UUUGGCUACGACAGAGCUCCUUUUACACUUUUCUCACAUAUUUAUUUGCUGAUUACUCGACGAAUUUACGGCACAAAGAAUGUGAAAAAUUCAGUGGGAAAACCACAGAUGUAGUGAUUAUUCCUUCGCAUUCACCAACCAAGUCACCCUCCGGACGAGAUUACGUCAGCGUGUAUGACACAGACGUGAGUGUGGCGCGUGGCUAGCUCAUCCAGUUGGAACGGGCUGAGUACCAUAGAGUGGAUAGGGUGUCUUUUGCCGCAGUAUGCGGUCUCUCGUCUUCCGCAUAAAUCAUUUCUCGCAAUAUCAACGAAGAAAAUGGCAUCGAGGAAAUAAGAGGAGUGGAGAGGAGAGGUGAGGGAGAGGGAUCGAUCGAUCGUUCGUUGGCACCCUACACACCAUGACGCUUUUGACAAUGCCCGGGUGAGUCGUUAGUUUGAAAUUUCACCUACAAGACGUAAUCAGAUUGUGUGAAAUUGUUGUAGAAUUUACUUGAGAGUGAAUUUUGUUUUUUUAAAUACCUAGGGAUUUCUAUCCCUGGGCGACACAAAAUCAUGAUUUGUUAUGGGUAUGAAAAUGAUGAAAAUGUAAGUCUAUCUGUCACGGAAACUGCCUGUGCAUCUUCACCAAUAGCUUCAUUAAAGCAUCUCCUUUGUGUAAAGACUAAUUGAAAAUAACUCACCUUGAAAAGACAUUUUGAAUCUUGAUGAAUUUCAUUGACAAUAUUUCAAUUUUUGUGAGCUUUGCAGACAUUAGAAUACAUUAUGUGUAUCGAAAAAGUUGGAGGGUAGUGUUGGUGAAAAGGAGACUUACGUCAUGUACGAAGUUUGUCGUGAAAACGACAGACUCUUGAAAAUAUAGAUAUGUUUCAUAGGUAUAGAAUUAUGUACACGUCAUAUCGUCGGUCUUUUCCGACACACCGAUACAACCGUAAAUAUUCAAUAUAUUCAUACUACCGAAUAAGAAAUACACCGAUUCUGAGGAGGAUUUCUCAAGAUCUGCUGGUGACAUAUUUUAAGCAAUGUCAAUUUUCUUGAUUUACACCUGAUCUUUAUUAUCAUUGACCUCUCUUUUCUCACGAUUCCAGGAUAUGUGA